GAAACGCGAUAGUUAAUGUGAAUUGCAGAAUUCAGUGAAUCAUCGAGUCUUUGAACGCACAUUGCGCCCAUAGGUAUUCCUUUGGGCAUGUCUGUUUGAGCGUCAUUACAACCCUCAGCUAACCGCUGGUUUUGAACCUGAACGUGUGACACCGCGCCGGUUUUAAAGUUGUAAGCUCUGCUGGCCGCUCUGCCCAACCAGAACAUAGUAAGCACUACUUGUCCGGGUGAAGCUGAACGGUACGGCCUGAACAAAACCUACCCACUCUCAAGGUUUGACCUCAGAUCAGACAAGGAUACCCGCUGAACUUAAGC
Molecule: unclassified non-coding RNA, 314 nt
Filed under: plant metagenome
Description: partial contains 5.8S ribosomal RNA, internal transcribed spacer 2, and large subunit ribosomal RNA
Rfam family: 5.8S ribosomal RNA (bases 1-105)
Source: RNAcentral